Molecule: ribosomal RNA, 444 nt
Filed under: uncultured bacterium
Lineage: Bacteria
Description: bacterial SSU rRNA
Rfam family: Bacterial small subunit ribosomal RNA
Source: RNAcentral
AGGAUGAACGCUGGCGGCGUGCCUAAUACAUGCAAGUCGUGCGGAAAGGCCACUUCGGUGGUACUCGAGCGGCGGACGGCAGAGUAACGCGUAGGAACAUACCCCAAACUGAGGGAUAACUGCUCGAAAGAGUAGCUAAUACCGCAUGUGAUCUUCGGAUUAAAGCUUCGGCGGUUUGGGAAUGGCCUGCGUCCGAUUAGCUUGUUGGUGAGGUAAUAGCUCACCAAGGCGACGAUCGGUAGCUGGUCUGAGAGGAUGAUCAGCCUGACUGGAACUGAGAACGGUCCAGACUCCUACGGGAGGCAGCAGUAGGGAAUUUUCCACAAUGGGCGAAAGCCUGAUGGAGCAACGCCGCGUGCAGGAUGAAUGCCUUCGGGUUGUAAACUGCUUUUAUUAGUGAAGAAUAUGACGGUAACUAAUGAAUAAGGGUCGGCUAACUACGUG